This 2317-nucleotide ribosomal RNA is filed under the name human gut metagenome. Its description in RNAcentral is "bacterial LSU rRNA". It matches the Rfam family "Bacterial large subunit ribosomal RNA", at positions 1 to 2321 of the family's 2925-position model. The record is from RNAcentral.
ACAAGUUGACAAGAGCAUCGGGUGGAUGCCUUGGCGUCGGAAGGCGAUGAAAGACGUGGUAAGCUGCGAAAAGCCUCGGGGAGAAGCUAAACAUUCUAUGAUCCGGGGAUUUCUGAAUGGGGAAACCCGGCGGAGGUCAUGCUCCGUCGCGGGUACUUGAAUACAUAAAGUGCCCAGCGCCAACUCAGGGAAGUGAAACAUCUCAGUACCUGAAGGAAAAGAAAUCAAACGAGACUCCCAAAGUAGCGGCGAGCGAAAUGGGAUGAGCCCAAACCGGCUGGAUUCGUUCAGCCGGGGUUGUAGGGCCGGCAUAUGUGAUUCACGAGUAGGCAGGGGAAAUGAGCUGGAAAGCUCUGCCAGAGCGGGUGACAGCCCCGUACCUGAAACCCAAAGCGACACAGCCGGUACCUGAGUACCGCGAGACACGUGGAACCUCGUGGGAAUCCGGGAGGACCAUCUUCCAAGGCUAAGUACUAACCGACGACCGAUAGUGUACCAGUACCGUGAGGGAAAGGUGAAAAGAACCUCUGUUAGAGGAGUGAAAUAGAAUCUGAAACCUGGUGCUUACAAGCUGUGAGAGCGGACUUGUUCCGUGAUCACGUGCCUUUUGCAUAAUGAGUCAGCGAGUUAAUCUGUACUGCAAGGUUAAGCGCAAGUGGAGCCGUAGGGAAACCGAGUCUGACAAGGGCGAUGAGUAGUGCGGAUUAGACCCGAAACCGGGUGAUCUAUCCAUGAGCAGGUUGAAGCAAGGGUAAAACCUUGUGGAGGACCGAACCAAUACCGGCUGAAAACGGUUUGGAUGACUUGUGGAUAGGGGUGAAAGGCCAAUCAAACCCGGUGAUAGCUGGUUCUCCCCGAAAUAUAUUGAGGUAUAGCCUCAUGGAUUGUCUACCGGAGGUAAAGCACUGACAGGGCUAGGGGUCCUACCAGAUUACCAAACCCUAUCAAACUCAGAAUGCCGGUCAGAUGUACCAUGGGAGUCAGACGGCGGGUGCUAAGGUCCGUCGUCGAGAGGGUAAGAGCCCAGAUCAACAGCUAAGGUCUCCAAAUCUAUGCUCAGUGGUUAAGGUGGUGACGUUGUAGAGACACCCAGGACGUUGGCUUAGAAGCAGCCAUCGUUUAAAGAAAGCGUAAUAGCUCACUGGUCUAAUGACGUUGCGCCGAAAAUGUAACGGGGCUAAGCAUAGUACCGAAGCUUUGAAUUCCGCGAAUGCGGUCUGGUAGGGGAGCGUUCUUCACGGGCUGAAGGUGUGUCGUAAGGCAUGCUGGACUGUGGAGAAGUGAUUAUGCUGACAUGAGUAACGAUAAAACGGGUGAAAAACCCGUUCGCCGUAAACCCAAGGUUUUCCGGGUAAAGGUAAUCUUCCCGGAGUUAGUCGGCCCCUAAGGCGAGGCUGAAAGGCGUAGCUGAUGGGAAACGUGUUAAUAUUCACGUACUUGUGUGUUCGCGCGAUGAAGGGACGCAGGAAGAUAGGCAAGCCGGGCGCUGGUUGUCCCGGUGCAAGCGUGUAGGGAUGAGAAGUUGGCAAAUCCGCUUCUCUCUAUCCUGAGACGCGAGUCCGUGACCGAAAGGUCUGAAGUUGUUGAGUCUAUGCUGCCUAGAAAAGCUUCUAAGUAUAGGACACGCAAACCGUACCGGAAACCAACUCAGGUGGGUGGGAUGAAUAAUCCAAGGCGCUCGAGAGAACUCUGGCCAAGGAACUCGGCAAAAUAACCCCGUACCUUCGGAAGAAGGGGUGCUUUUUAGGGUGAAGCGAUUCACUCUGUCGAGCCCUGAAAAGCCGCAGAGAAAUGGUGGUGGCGACUGUUUACUAAAAACAUAGGUCUGUGCCAAGUCGUAUAGACGACGUAUACGGACUGACGCCUGCCCGGUGCUGGAAGGUUAAAAGGAGGAGUCAGCGCAAGCGAAGCUCCGAAUUGAAGCCCCAGUAAACGGCGGCCGUAACUAUAACGGUCCUAAGGUAGCGAAAUUCCUUGUCGGGUAAGUUCCGACCUGCACGAAUGGUGUAAUGAUCCGGACGCUGUCUCAACCAUGAGCUCAGUGAAAUUGUAGUAUCGGUGAAGAUGCCGAUUACCCGCGAUGGGACGAAAAGACCCCGUGAACCUUUACUAUAGCUUAUCAUUGAAUCUGGGCACGUGAUGUGUAGGAUAGGUCGGAGGCUUUGAAGCAGGUACGCCAGUAUUUGUGGAGCCGCUGUUGAAAUACGACCCUUUAUUUGUUUGGAUUCUAACCCGUGGAUACGGGGACAUUGAUUGGUGGGUAGUUUGACUGGGGUGGUCGCCUCCAAAAGCGUAACGGAGGCUUCUAAAGGUGCCC